GAUGAGGGAGAUGACGACGAGUGAAGACCCAUGGAAGGGCCUCCCCUUUUUGGCGCUUGAUGCCAAAGGGGGAGUGAAGCUCACCAUGAAUGCUUGGGGAUGGAUCAUCAUCUUAGCUAUCUUUAGUUUCUCUUAUGGCUUGUGGACAUAUAUGCAAACUAUGUGUAGUGUUAUGUUUGGUGUGCGAAGUGUGAACUUUCAAAUUUAUAAGAUUCAUUUGCUAUACUAGUGUGUCUUAGGACUUCUUAUUCACUUGUGUUGAGAUGAUUAUGACAUGUAUGGUGUAUUGCUCUAUUUUCUCUUUUUGAAAUGUUCCAUCUUGUCA
This 325-nucleotide long non-coding RNA is filed under the name Setaria viridis. RNAcentral's name for it is "long non-coding RNA (SVIR_LNC003451)". The record is from RNAcentral. Lineage: Eukaryota; Viridiplantae; Streptophyta; Magnoliopsida; Poales; Poaceae.